Molecule: long non-coding RNA, 135 nt
Organism: Octopus sinensis (East Asian common octopus)
Lineage: Eukaryota; Metazoa; Mollusca; Cephalopoda; Octopoda; Octopodidae
Exons: 3
Source: RefSeq, a predicted model, not a curated record
CUCCACAAACAAAUUGUCAAUUGUGGAACACGACUGUCACUACAUAACCCUGAGGAUUGUGUAACGCAUGAAAGUACUAGUUUAUUUCAAUAUUGUAAAAUUGUAAAAAUCGUAAAUAAUAAAACAUGAAAAUCA